UACGUAGGGGGCAAGCGUUGUCCGGAAUCAUUGGGCGUAAAGAGCGUGUAGGCGGCCCGAUAAGUCCGCUGUGAAAGUCCAGGGCUCAACCCUGGAAUGCCGGUGGAUACUGUCGGGCUAGAGUCCGGAAGAGGCGAGUGGAAUUCCUGGUGUAGCGGUGAAAUGCGCAGAUAUCAGGAGGAACACCAAUGGCGAAGGCAGCUCGCUGGGACGGUACUGACGCUGAGGCGCGAAAGCGUGGGGAGCAAACAGG
This 253-nucleotide ribosomal RNA is filed under the name uncultured bacterium. RNAcentral describes it as "partial 16S ribosomal RNA". It matches the Rfam family "Bacterial small subunit ribosomal RNA", at positions 524 to 776 of the family's 1533-position model. The record is from RNAcentral.